This 438-nucleotide long non-coding RNA is filed under the name Anas zonorhyncha (Eastern spot-billed duck). RNAcentral describes it as "lncRNA (ENSAZOG00000008829.1)". The record is from RNAcentral. Lineage: Eukaryota; Metazoa; Chordata; Aves; Anseriformes; Anatidae.
AUGAGUUUUGCUGGAGCCUUUUGGCCAAGCAUUGAGAACAAAUGUUGGAGAUCUUCUGAAACACCUGGCUUUGGUGCUGGGUGCCUUAUACAGGUGAGGCCAUUCAAGCUAAAGGGGUGCAGCCAAGUUUAUAAAGUCACUAAGAGGAGCUGGUGGUCCUUGAGCCACCCAGGUCUUCAUGCCCGUGAAGCUAAAGCUGCAAAAAUCCCCGUGAAGCAGCCCCUGUUGGGAAAAAGAACCCCCCAAGCCAAAAUCCAAGGAGCUGCAGCUACAUCCUCUCUGGGCAUCACAAAGACUGGCCAGGUGUAUGCACACCCUUUGCAACCCCUCCAGGCGAACCACAGUCUGCAAAAAUCCUCCACAGUCAGAAGGAGCAAAAGCCAAAGCCUGAUCUGUUUAUUUUUUGCUCUUCUGAUGUUAUUUAGGUCAUGUAUUUGA